RNAcentral lists this long non-coding RNA (1002 nucleotides) under Mus spicilegus (steppe mouse). Its description in RNAcentral is "lncRNA (ENSMSIG00000002099.1)". The record is from RNAcentral. Lineage: Eukaryota; Metazoa; Chordata; Mammalia; Rodentia; Muridae.
UUCUACUCUAGGCCACUGACCCAGGCAUGUGGUUGGGUUGUGUUGCUAGGCAACCUGGAGUGGGACACAUCCUAAGAGGAGCUGUUUAUUGUGUCACAGCACUGAGCUCCACCAUGUCGUGUCCUUAAGAGCUCAGUGUUUCCCUUCCUCAUUCCUUUCCCUUCUUUCCUUUCUUCUUUCCUUUUGUCUUUCCAUGUUGGGAUUUUGAACUCAUGAACUACUGCGUGCCAGGCAAGUUCUACCAUUAAGCCAUAUCCUCAGCCCUGACAUUGUGUCUUUCUAAAUGAACCUCAUUCAAUUUUACUAUAAAAUGGAAUAAUAAUCACAAUAACCUGUGCUUCAAAUAGUUCUUCUAUAUGAGGCAAUAAUAUGUGGCUGGAAUGUAGCAAGUACUUAUGAGGUUAUCAGUAAUUGAAACAAUUCUUGGAAUCUAACAAGACUAUACUCAAUUAUGGGAAACUGGCCACAUGUGGUAUCUAAGCUGGCUGCUCCAUUCUGUUCACUGCAGCUGAGAUGCCAGACAUGUUAAAGAAGCCAUCAUUGGAGUCUCAGGUCCAGCCAUGUUCUGAAUCAAUCCAACAUGGCUACAUCAGCUACCAGCUGAACAUGUCAAGUAUACAAAAUAGUGAGAAGUUCUAUUGUCAUGCAGGUACUGGUUUCUGAUGUACUACAGGAAAAAAGAAAAAGAGGAGAAGGCAGAAGAGGAGGGGGCUGAUUUCUUGGAGAACUGGCUGUUUCUAGGCCUGUGGCAAGAAAUGCAUGAGCCUGGAGCACCGUGAAGUGCUGCAAAGAAUGAAUGUGCUAAAAGACAUAAGCAAUUUAAGAAAUGAGACAGGCCAAGGGGGUACCAGAGCCAACUGGAAGAGCUCCGCAUGUGGAGUGACUGACAGGCAGAUAAAGGAGAACUGAGCCCCAACAGUACAGCACUGGGUGUCUGUGAGUCCAGGCCGAUGCAAAUAACACUGGAAUAAACAAGGGAAGGGGGCACCUCUUCCUUGAACA